Molecule: long non-coding RNA, 27871 nt
Filed under: Lactuca sativa (garden lettuce)
Lineage: Eukaryota; Viridiplantae; Streptophyta; Magnoliopsida; Asterales; Asteraceae
Description: long non-coding RNA (LSAT_LNC001808)
Source: RNAcentral
CAACUCUCUGGAGGACAAAAACAACGCGUUGCUAUAGCCCGCGCAAUAUUAAAAAACCCAGCGGUUUUGUUACUAGACGAAGCUACAAGUGCAUUAGAUAGUCAAUCAGAGAAAGUAGUACAAGAUGCAUUGGAGAGAAUGAUGGUGGGGAGGACUAAUGUGGUGGUGGCCCACCGUUUGAGUACCAUACAAAGUUGCAACACGAUCGCGGUUUUGGAGAAAGGGAAGGUGGUCGAGAAAGGUAAUCAUAGUUCGUUGUUAGCGAAAGGGCCGACCGGAGCUUACUACUCGUUAGUUAGUCUUCAAAAGCCUAAUUCUGCUCAACAUUAUGAUUAACUAAAACUUGGUGGAAAAUUGGAGGGGUUUUACAUAGAAGAUUGCAAGUGUUGAAGUGUAAAACGAUUUUUACACAUUAUAUGUAUGCAUCUGAGGAUGAUGGUAUAUAGGUUUUGUUCAGCAUAUCAUUUUCUAACAGGAAACUGAUUCUGAAAUAGUUGAUAUAUACGAUAUAAUUGUAACCAGUAAGUACAUUAAAUAAUCAAAGUUAUAUAGCGUACACAAGAUGUUUUCGAAAGAAAUUAAAUCUGUUAAAGAAAUUGGAAUUUGUUAAACAUUUUGGUGUGGACGGGUGUUUCAUAAAACAUGAUAUAAUUUUAACAAUAAAUAACGGUUAUCUUUGUAUUUUUAUAAUUUCUCCAGAGUGUAACGAUUUUAUCUUUCGACAUAUGUAAAAGAAGGACCAAAACACUCACUUAUGUUUAUGUUUAUUAUUUUAUUGUUAUUGUAUAUGUGGUUGUUAUGAUACUCUGCAGCCAUAACCAUUAGCGAAGUUUGUUAGAGACAAAACCCAAAAUGGUAUUUGUAAACAAGUUAUAUUCCAUAUUGCAUGGUUUUAGUUUGUAAGAUUGUUAAGUUAGAAGGGAUUUCCCAUAGAUCUUCAAUCUUUGUUCUAUUUGUGAUCUUCAAUCUUUGUUCUAUUUGUGACUAUAUUUUGGGUGGUUAAGCAAAAUCCUCUGCUUGUUGUAACACUUGUAAUUUUAUAAGUUAAUAAUGUUUGGAAAAUAUUAGUAGUUGAUAUGUGUUUACAUGUUACAUAUGGUAUGUUGGUGAACUUGAUAAGACUUUAACAUGUACAAAGUACAAUGCUCAAUUAGAAAGAAUAAAGUUAGACCUUAUGUGAUGUUUAGAAUGAAGGUAUGAGUCUAUUAACAUCUAUCAUUAUGUAGACUUAAAAAGUUUUAUAAAGCAAUUCACAUGACAUGCUAUAUUGAUUUGAGGGAUGUACCAGAUAUUUUUUCUAAAAUGUUUCGUGUUUUGGUACUUUAAGGACAAUACAGAGGACAUGUUAUGAAACUUAGAGGUGUUACUAUGUUAGCAUAUGCAAAUUACAAGUUUUGAUUCGACAAUACCCGCAAGUUGAUAAAGGUGAAAACUGGAUCAAUGAGUUGCCAAUUAAAGACGCAUAAUAUGAUAUAAUAUUGAACGGUUAAACUCUCACUAUAUUUUGAUAUAGUGACAUGGACAUAAUGCGUAGAUAACUAGAUGGCAUAAUGAAUUUUUUAAGUUUAUUAUAAGACAAAAUUUCAAAAAUUGGUCCCAUGACUACCGAAAAGUGGCAAGGUGAUGAAAUCUUUCAAAAACGUGUCAAAUGUUGUCCUGUGGUUUCGGAAAGUUGUAACUUUGUUAUUUUAACAUUGCUUUAGUGAAGUUGGAUUAAAUAUACGUUAAACGACAAAUUUACCCCUUUUAUAAAAGUCAUCACACCCUCGCCCCUUGCCAUUUUUCUAUCACAUAAGGAUAAUUUUUAAAAUUUUGUCACAAAUGAAGUAUAAUAUAAAUUUAUAAAUGAAUAAUAACAAGCUUAGUUAUUAAUAAAUUAAUAUAAAUAAACUAAAAAAGCAGAUAAAAAAUACAUUAACUAAAAUUACAUCACAUAUUACAUAAAUCAAUAACUAUAAUUUAUAAUUUUUGGUAUUAGACAAAAUUUCACAAAUAGUCUUUAGACUCAAGGGAGUGGUGCGGUUUCUAUCGCACUCCUUACCACAUAGGCAGGGGAACACCCCCCCCCCCCCCCCCCCNNNNNNNNNNNNNNNNNNNNNNNNNNNNNNNNNNNNNNCAUGCGGUUUCGAGUGCAGUUAGGCCGCACCUCACCUUUUUUUGGCCGCAAAUUUUGAUUGGCUGGUGGUGUUAAUAACCGUUGAACGGUCAAAUAUGUUAACAUUUAUUUAUUUUUUUUCCUUUUCUUUCCUAUAAUUAUACCAUAUACUUCAUUGUUUUUCAAACCAAAACCAAACUUUUACAUUUCUCUAUUGCUUUAUCUCUUAAAAUUAAUAGAAAAUGUCAUCCUCUUCAUCUUUUAAAGAAUUUCAAUUUAUUUUUUAUGCUGCUAUUGCUUGUGCUCAAAUGACGGAACAGACAUAUGAUACUUUAUGUAAUAACGCAGCCGAAAGUUCUCAAUGGAGAACACGAAGACAUAUUUGUAGAAAUCGUGAAAAAGCCAACCAACGUUUGACACAAGACUACUUUCAAGAGAAUGCCACUUAUCAAGGGUACUAUUUUUGUAGGUGCUUCAGAAUGUUCAAACGUUUAUACGAACGUAUAGUUGAAGAUGUAACAAGGGAGUGUAGUUUUUUUCAACAAUGUUACGAUACUAGAGGUACACCCGGUUUCACUCCCUUACAAAAAUAUAUGGCCGCACUUCGUCAGUUGGCAUAUGGCAUUAUGCCUGAUGCGUUGGACGAGAGUUUUAGGAUGUCUGCUACGACUGCACGAGAUAGUCUUCACUAUUUUUGCAAAACUGUGAUUCAGUUUUAUGGUCCAAAAUAUUUAUGUAAGCCUACAAGUAAUGACAUCUUACAAUUGCAAGCUCAUCAUGCUAGUGUGCAUGGGUUUCCUUGAAUGUUAGGAAGUUUAGAUUGUUUGUAUUGGACAUGGGUAAAUUGCCCUACCUCACACCAUGGACAAUUUACCCGAGGUGAUCAUGGUCACCUAACGGUCAUACUUGAAGCAGUUGCAUCAUAAGAUCUGUGGAUUUGACAUGCUUUUUUUGGUUCUCCCGGUUCGAGUAACAACAUCAACGUUCUUAAUCGUUCACCUAUAUUUAACAACAUAUAUGAUGGAUCUGCACCAGAUUCUUCUUUUAAAGUGCAUGAAACGCCAUAUAAAUAUGGUUAUUAUAUAGUUGAUAGGAUCUAUCAUGAGUGUGUUGUGUUUGUUAAAUCGUUUAUGUGUUCACAUGGUUCUAGACGAAAAGAAUUCAAGAGAGCUCAAAAAAGACUUAGGAAGGAUAUCGAGCGUACUUUUGGAGCUUUUAAGAAAAGUUGGUUCAUAUUGAAAAAACCAACAAUUUAUUUCGGCAAGGAAAAACUUCAAAAAAUCAUGUAUACAUGUCUCAUAUUGCAUAACAUGAUUAUUGAAGACGAAGGAAGAGCGAUAUGUGCGUUUGACGAGGAAGAAACUAUACCCGAUACACAACUAAUAGAAAUUGGUGGCGAAGAAUAUAUGAACAAGAGAGUAGAGAUACGUUGCACUAAAACAUUUCACAAUCUUCGCACGGACUUGGUGGAACACAUUUACGGGAUUCAACACAUUAACCUUAAGUUUGAUCUACCGGAUGACUCGGAAGACGAGUUCUCGGAGAACGACUUUAUGUAGUAUGGUUUAGUUGUUUUAUUUGUGUUUUUUUAAGUUAUUUUAAUCAUUUGAUGUGUGUUUCUAAAGUUUGUAGGAUUUUUUUAAUGGUAUAUGUUUUUUUUUUAAUUUUUAAUAAUGCAAUGUAAUGUUUUUUUAUUUUGAAGUAUUGAUUAUGUUUUUUUUAUUAAAAAUGAAGUUUUAUUUAACUAAAUUAUUAAAAAAAAAAGUGUGACACCACUUUUUGGGUGUGGCAAGAAACCACACUUGUGUGGUAAAAAGUGAUGUAGUGUACAUGUGGCAGUGAAGGAAGUACGGUUUUAAUGGCAUCACUCCUAGCCUUAUGAUGAAUUUAUUGCAUAGAUAGAUGGUGCUAAAGUUUGAAAAACAUUGCACCACAAGUCCACAUGGAUAACACCGUUAAAAAUAAAAGCUACGUUUUUUGUAAAAUUACCGAUUAAUACAACGUUACUGAUAUUUUAUAUUUUCUUUUAAAUGGUUUAUGAUCAAAUAAAAGAAAAUAAGCUCAACUUACCCCACCAUAGUGUGUAAUUGUGUAUGUAUGUGUGUUCUUUGUCUGUCAAUCUCUAGGUUUGUGUUGUGUUUCCUUUAGGUCGAGGAGUACAAUACAAGUAAAGAAAACAUCAUAUUUCCCAUUCAAAUCUCGAGUUGCAUGUCUAAAAGCAGAAGGAAAAAAGUUUGUGCCCAACUGUUCCUUUGAUUCUGUUGUAGGCGUGGUCAAAAAAGCAAAAUAGAACGAGAACAAGGGUUGAGAUGGUGAACAUGUGAAGUGUGAAGAUAUUGAAUUAUGUUUCUUAUCCUUGUUGGCGAUGGUGUUGGGUUGUUGCGAUCAAGGGUGUUGAUGAUAUGGAGUAGAUGAUAAAGGGCUCUAAUCUACUGUGUUUCUUUAGUAAACCACGUGAGGAGAUAACCCAAAUGGUCAUACAACAUCUCCUGUUUUUUAGGUCCAUUUUGUAGUCCAUAUAUCCAUUUUGUUGAUAAUACCUACCGAAUCUUGGAAAACCUUAGGAUGAUUAGCCCAAUUUGUUUUUUUCUUUACAAAUUAUAACUUAUUUGAUUUAGCUUGAUAUGUUUUGCUAUCAUAAUAUCCUUUCUAAUAAAUUAAAUUUUUUUUUUAUUAUUUGUCGCACUCUUAUUCAAUUUGUCAAAUACAUUUUAUGGUUAUUUUGAAUUAAUUUUUUUUCCACAUGUCAAGUUUUUCUAUUUUAUUUAAUUCCACAUAAUAUUUUAAUGUAAUAAUUGCAAUAAAUAUAGUAAUAAAUAGAUAUUAAUUUCACUAAUAAACUUACCUUUUAAUUUCAAAUUUUCCAAAUUAAAGCUCACUAAUCUUUUUUUCUUUAUUUAAAUUAUUUGUUUAAAUUUAAAAGAUAAAAAAAAUUCUAUUAUAAUAAAUAAUUAUUUUUUUAUUUUCUUAUAAAUUCAAAGUUUCAAAUAUUUUGACAUUUAUAUUUAAUUUUUUUAUAAAUUAACCCAUGUACCAUCGGGUCAAGUACACACCAAAACAGUUAUGGACUUAGACACUAAUCCAAUAGUCUCCCACUUGGAAAGUCUAACAACUAUUCUGUGUAUGACUUCAGAUCCUGAUCUGCAAUCGUAGCUUUCAAAAGCCGUUGUCAACUCUGAUCUUAUCAGAUACGCUUGUCCUUUAGAUAAGGGAUCAUAUAUUCCUCCAUUCUAGAUAUCGUAUGGAUAUAAGACAUGAAUUCUAAUCAUUCUCUCUAUACUAUUUCUCGACUUCCGAUUUAUGACGACUAACAACAGACUACAAUUGAACACAUCAAAUUAGUCCCGGCUUGGCCAAGCGCUUAUGUGCCAUCACUAAAUCAUCAAGGGACCCAAAGAUAUCGCUUUUAUCCUACUUUGGAUAAAAGGAACGGAUAAACUUUGAUUCAAUUCUUGCUUGCACUCACUUACCGAAUCACACACAACAAUAUGUUUUAUAACACCAAGUUACUGGUGCGUUUACAUAUUAUCCAUGUGCAACCGACUCGCAAGAUACAACUCACACAUCUCGGUUUCAAGAAUAUAAGAUGUUAUCUACUCACCAAUCACUCGUGAUACGAUUCAUGAAAUGAUCCAAGUGAGCAUGCGUUUAAUCCAAUGCUCAAAUCAUAUUCAUAAGCACUCAUGAACGUUGCAGCAAACAUUUGCUUAUGUCUAAUACACUUUAGACAAUCCACACACCAAUUCAUGACAGUCUUCAUUCAUAUCUACUUCCAACAUAUGAAUGACUAUGGUCCGUUCGAGUAAUUUGAUUAUUCUGAAAUAAUUUAAUUAUUCAGGAAGUCAAAACAUGCAAAGUGAAACACAAGAAUACUGCUAAUCCCAUAUGGCCCCGAACUCUGGGUAUAAAUAAAACAUUUUACUUAAUCACCAUAUUGAUUACUCAUUAUUUGUUGUUUCGGGUAAUCAACUUUUUACUUGAAUUAUAACUACACUUGUCCCAUGCUCUUAGCAUGCACAUAAUGUUCACCUAUGGUCCUUACUUUGUGAAAUAGAUCAAAUGAAUACAUUUCCAAUCAUACUCAUUUCACAAUUCCCAAUCCUUUUCACAAGUGAAAGAACAUCAAAUUCUUGCCACUUAUAGAAUAUGCGAGAUUCUAACAUUUUAUGCAAUGAUCCUUUCGUAAUGUCAUAGCACAAAAAUCACAAUGACUAUUGCCAAUGAAAUUACAAAGUUCUCUAUUUGAGAUUGUUACAAUACAAUUCCAUAGACGUGAUGUCUCUCACUCAAAGUACAUUCCUUUGAACAUCCUUUUGCAUAACAUUUUCUAAUCUAGACAUAGACUCUUAAUAUCCAACUCCCAAUAUGGAAACAUUUCCAUAUUUGUCAUAUGACAACUCAUUCUGAAUAGAAUCUUAUCUAUUCAUAAUAAUGUCGAUAUGAUCCAUCCAAUAACAUACUUCCAACUACUCACAAGAGACUAAUCCUCAGCGAACUUUGGAUCGUCCUUUGAUAGUUGUUUAAUCAUCUUAGUCAAAACCGAUUUUUGUCCUUUUUCCCUCUAAAUGCGCUAGAAAUUUGGAAAAUUUUAGAAUGGUCAAAUAUUAUAGCAUUUGCAAUCGAUCCUUUACCUGAAGCGUAUGAGACACGAUGCAUAAUGUCUUACAAAAAACUGAUACUUUAUCAAUCUUGUGUCAUAAUAUUUUAUGUGUCACAUUCUCAUAAUUCGAACUAUGAAGAGGGAUGCCAUAAUCAUAAUAGAAAUUUUGAGAACACACUAUGUAUCCUUUACUAAAUUUAUUAACAUUCCACAACCUAAGCCUUUAGAUUUGAAAUGAAGCAUAAUAUUCUCUCCCUUAAUUAUAGCAAAACAACUUUUCAACCCUUACGACUUUGCAAAGUAUAACUCUUGUUUUCUAUAAUUAAUAUUGCUAACUUGCAAUACUUGCCUUAAUAAUCAUACAAGCACAACAUUUAUGCUCCCACUAUCAUGAUGAUUAUUAUCAUAUAAGCAUAACACUUAUGCUCCCACUAGCUUUGACAUGUAUUCAGAAAACAGCUUAACUUCCAGAAAAACAAUACCUAUUGAAUUUCUUAAGUUCAUAUUUCUAAUACCUAAUGCUUUGAUAAUCUUUUAUCUAAGCUUCUUAGUCUUAUACACCUUUUCCUUAGAUAGCUCAUAUGUGUGUCUAAACAAUUCAGACUAAUUGCCAAAUCUCACAAUUCGAAUCAUGGAAAGGGAUACCGUAACCAUAAUCGAAUUCGAGAAUACAAUUUUCACAAUCACUAUCUUCUUAAAAUCUCUCUUAGUGAAAGCAUUUCCUCACAGUCAUUUUCAUGAAGGAGGGAAUCUUAUGACACUUAGAUUUUAAUGGUGUAUGUGUUCCUAUCCAUGCGAAUUUUUCAAAACCAAAGUUUGUGACAAAUCCAAACUCAUAUGGACCGAACUUUCUCAAUCUUGAUUUCUUGCCUUAUGGUAACACGAGUGCCCACCAUGUCUUCCAAGUAGUUAAGCAGCUCACCCUUUCCUAUCAAUGUACUUUUCAUUGAUCAAGGUGCUUGCCUUUUAUGCGUUCAAAUGAGAACUCAUAGAACUCACAUGCAUAAUUAACUCAAUUGGAACGGCACAGAAACAAGAUAGUGUCAACACGAUAGGUUGUAAACCUCAAGUCGUGUGCUAGUGAUGAUCGAUAAGGUUUAUUCUUGAUUAGUUCUUGAAACUUUUCAAGACCAUUAAGACUCCCACUGACUCCUUGACAUAUAAGAUUCUCUUGUCAAUAAACAUUUCUUGACAAACAAAUAUUCAAGAGUUAGUGUAGCUUUUAUCAAGACAAAACACUUCACAAAAUUGGUCCUAGUUGGUCUUUGUCUUAUCCAAGACAUCACAACUUUCCAAUUUCAAAUGUGCAAGAAUAAGAAAACCUUUUCAAAUUCCACAUUUGAUGAAUGUUAUAAACCUUCUUAAGACUUGUCACUCAAUGUCACAAUCUUAACUCUAAGAAUUGUUUUGGAACGAAGUAUGAUUGACUUCUUGAUUUAACCAUUUCUUCAAUUCUUGAUUCCUCUUCUCAGACAUACAGUUGUACUAAGAAUUACUUAGAGGAUCAAUUGAGAUAUGGUUCUUAAUCAUUAAGACCUAUCAUAAAACAUAAUAAAAGGUACUCUCCCUUCUUCUUAGAAUAGAGAAACUUUUAUCUUUCUGCCUACUUGAUUCUUCUUAUCCGUUCUGCUAUUGAUUGAAACUCUUUUAAUCAAUUCAGAAUUACACUUAAUAUUAUAAGUAUAAUCAUAUUUACUAAACCUUUAGUAAAUCAUGACGAAUAUCUUUGUUACUCUUGUGGUGGACUUGAUCAACACACAACUUUGUGUACUUGAUCUCCUAGUCCUUCACUUGACACUUUGUCAACGAAUUAGUCUAAUUUCCAAAUAUGAAAUUUCUCAUUCAUCAUGCAACCAAGUUGUAUGAUUCCAAGUUUCUGUCCAAUUGAAACUUGGGCGAUGAGAAACUUUCCCUAUUUGGUAAAUUCUUGACCUUUCCACAAAUAACAUAAUUAAGAAUCAAAUCCAUUAUUGCUAAUAAUAGAAACUUACAAACAUCAAUUUUUCAUACACGUCAUUGCAAGAAUAAAUAAAUAAUAUAAAAUCAAAUUUUAUUUUAUUGCGUAAAAAAUUGUCCUUACAAUGCAAUUCAAUGAAAAACUAUGUUAACACAUAUUUCUUAGCAAUCUAUUCUAACUCUUAGUAGUAGCUCAAGAAUCCAAUCUUCAAGUAAUGCGAUCGAAAUCCAUUUCUUCACGAUUAGAUUCCGCUCACUUCUUCCCUUAAGCUUCCUUUCUUUUCUUCGAUCCUACAAAACAUCGAUUGUAAUCUUAUCACAUUAUGUAUUAAGAAUCUAGAAUAGANGAGCCACACGUUUUGACUCUCCCAUCUCUUAGAUCUCUUAGGUAAAUAGGACAGCUUCGUCUCCAAUGCCCCUUCUCUUGGCAAUAAAAGCAAGUUGACUCUUUUGGAAUAGCACAUGGAACUACUUCAGACUUUGCCUUUCUCUUAUGAUCAAACUUUUCGAUCAUGGCAUGCCAUUCGUUUCCAUUGCCUAUAUCCAUAGAGGUCUGGAAGGCAGAUUCACCAAUCAACUUUGCUUUUCCAGUGUGCCAAAUCAUUGCUGAUUCAGCAGCAAUAAGCAUAUAGGUGAGAUCGAUGAGGGUUAUGUCGUGGCUCAUCAUAUGGUACUCUCUUACGAACUCACUAUAUGAAUCAGGAAGUGACUGAAGAAUCCAGUCAAUAGCCAGAUCCUCACAUACAACAGAUCCCAACAUUCUUAACCUAUCAAUGUGUGACUUCAUCUCUAGGACGUGUGCACACACUGACUUUCCUUCUUCAUGUUUACUUUCUAAAAGGGCUUGAAUGAGUUUGAACUAUUCAAUCUUUUGAACUUGUGGGUUAGGGAGAACAAUAGAAGGAGGUGGAGGAAGUGAAGCAUGAUCUCGUGUUCCUCGAUCGAAUCGUGGAAUAUCAUCUUCAUGUGAAAAGCUUGUUCCACGGGAUUUGGGAAGACCAUAGUUGUCAUACUUUGACAUCUACAAAACGGGAGAAAAAUUAAAGUUAGUUGAUUGAUUGAGUCCUUAAUAAAUCACCCAAAUGAGAUACUAAGGCUAGGACCCAACACAAUAUUCUACAACUUGGGAGAGGGAUACCGUAACCCAAAUUGCAGAACAUUUGAAGGUAAGUGAAUGACGAUUCACUAAUUUUCCACCAUGAAAAACGAAAAACAGAUUAAGUUUUAAAUGCUUUGAAAACUCCUAGAUCCUUUGAGAUUCAUUGAACUUUUCAAUGGCAUGUAUAAAUCUCGAUAUGCCCCUCGAUUUGUGACUGGGAUGCCGAGGAUCACAAAACCGGGUGCGAAUAACCAUGCAAACUUACAUGGUGCCCCCACAUGUUACAGUCACCUAUUCGAUGUGUCGGUUAACCACACACGCUCCACCGAAAUAUGACAAACAUUGAGUCACCCUUUGCUACCUUUGCUUAGAACCAUUUAGUGUGUCGGUUAACCACACACACUCCAUUAACGUCUUCGCAAGGGCACAAAGUGUAAUUUCAUGGAAGUGCAUCAAUUCACUUUUGCCUAAAGUAACUAAGAUUGGGAAUUUGUAAAAGCAUGUGGUUACUUUAGUACUUCAUUAUACUUAUAAUGGAAGGUUUAUGUCCUAUCCUACCCGUUCGGCUAACGACCCUCCACUAGUCAAGAGUGCGGUGGGUAAGAGUGGAUACCCAUUCAAUCGCCAUUUUAUAGGCAAUUUCCUUAAACACCCCUUAUAGACUAGCUUCGUGAAUGAGGCCUACUAACGGUAAGACUGACUUUUACUCAUACAUAUAUAUAAUGUUAGACUUUUAAUGUUAUAUAUAGUAUAGGGUGUAUUUUACACUUUUAAAAUACUAGGUGGUCAAAUUUAACAAUUAUACUUUUAAUUCAAUUAAAUUGUAAACCAAAACUUUUAUGGAUUUAUUAAACCUCUUUUAAUUAUACACCUUAAUUAAUUAAUAAAACCAUAAGGGUGUGAUUUGAACUUUUCAAAACAAUACUAGGGUUUUAGAAUUUAACAUUUCUAAAUUAAACUUUUAAUCAACUUUUAAAUUCCAAAACUUGAGGGCAAGUUUUGAAACAUUUCAAAACAUUAGGGUUUCAACUAUUUAAAUUUCAAAACAAAACCUUUAAGUUCAAAUUUAAACCAUAAAACUUACAUGGGCACAAAUGAAACUUUUUCACAACACAAGGAUCAAAUAACAAAUAAUAGAAAUUAAACAAUUAAUUUUGUCAUUAUCUAUAUUUGACCUAAUUUCAAUUUCUUGCAAGAUAAGUUACCCAAUUAAUACAAAUAAUCAAACUUUAAUCAUAUAAGGAAGUUAUUAUCUAAUCAAUUGGUAAUUAUCUUUUGUUUAAUCAAGGAUAUACUCAUAAAUAUGUAUAAAAUCGGAUUUUAAUGACCUAAAACAGAUAAGGCAAGUAUCCAUGAGAAAAAGAGCAAGAAAUCCCGAAAUCCCCUCUUUCUGACGCUCGAACUCGCCGAGUACCACACUGGACUCGCCGAGUUGAGGCCUACUCGCCGAGUACACUGUGGUACUCGCCGAGUUCAUCAGGCAGGGAGCUCAAAACUCGAUUUUGCAACUUGAACAAACGUACAAGGCAUCAAUACAAUAGAAACCAAUCAAGGCUCUGAUACCACUGAUGGGUUUUAGCCAUAAGAACAUCCUAUGUGCUCAUGCAAACCCUAAUGCUUGGAUCUAGGUUUCUCUAUUGUACAUGCAAUGUAUCCAAGACUUACAAUCUUAGAUCUAACAUAUUAUAAACUGAAAUUAGGGUUUAGAGAAUUACCUUUGAUUGUUAUGUAGCAAUAACAAUCUCAAAUCCUCCUUGUAAUGACUUUAAAAAGCUUAGAGUCACAAUUGUCACUCCUCUAAUGGCUCACAAACACCAAGAGCAAGAGGAUGAAGAAUAAGGAGAGAGGAGGCUGCCCAAAACGUCCAGAAACCCUAGUAGAACUCUUAGCCACGUUUUUGGGGCUUAAGGGUACUAUAUAUACAUUUAGGCUAUUAGGGUUUUUAACUAGGAAACCCUAAUCUGACUGCUUAAGCCCUAAGCAGCCCAUGGACCCUUUUAGAAUAUCCCCUGGACGAUUUCUAAUGGGUUUCCCCAUAGAAUUCGCCCAACCUAUUAUUCCAAGGUGAUCCAUAGCCCAAAUGCAAUUAUCUUAUAAUUACAGUUCCAGUCCCUUAAGUUUAAUUAAUCUCUAUGAGCUACAAAAUUAAUUAUCAAUUAAUUCUUGACUAAUAUUAAUUAAACAAUAUGAUUUCUCCUUUAAUAUAUUAUUCUCAUAAUAUAUUAAUAAAUUAUAAUUAAUCCUUUCUCUCCAUAAUUCAUCCUAUCAAGUUGCUUUGGUGAAGGCAACCCAAAAGGACCAUGCACCAUCGGGUCAAGUACUCUAUUAGGCGUGACCAAUACAAGAUUUGAUAAUAUUUAUUAAUACACAAUCAAUAAGUCUACUUGCUAUUAAGCAUGAUGCUAUAUGAUCACGUGUUAUUAGAAAAUAUCAUUACACGAACCAGGGGCGGAUUUAGGGGGGUUCCAGGGUGAAACCGGCAACCCCUAAAUUUUCUGGCCGCAUUGGAAAAACUUUCGAAUUUUUUUUAAAUUUUUAUUUUUUCUACUAUCGUGCAACCCCUAAUCUUCUCGUGCAACCACUACUAUGAAAUCCUGCGUCCGCCCCUGACACGAACAUAUAGAUCUUUCAUUAUGUUCUUUAACUUAACUACCACCUAACCUCCAAACAUUACCCGGUAACAACCAUAAAAUUACACAAAUCUAUCGAGAGUGAAAAGUAAACUUUUAAUGACAAUUUAAGUAGAUAAUAACCAUUCACUUGUUUCCAUAUAAAUUAUCAUUGACGGUUCACUUUUCACAUUUUAUAGAUGUGUGUUGGCCGAUGGUUGUUAACAUGUAAGGUAUGAAUGUUGGUUGGUAGUUACAUUAAACAACAUAAGAGGAACACCAACAUUAGAGGAAUGCUAAUUAAGUUAAUCUCACCAUUAUACCCACAACAAUGCACAGGAAGAACGUAGAGAGUUUGAGUGGCCAAGACGCAAUAGAAUACUUAGACCACCAAUUUAUUCCUAGAAUAAUUGUUGGAAAAGUCCCAAAAUUUUGAGCAAACUAACGAAAAAUGACAAAAUGCCGGCAAAAUUUACGAAACCGCUCGAAAAAGGUUUUUUCAAAGUUUUAACCGGUAUUCUGUGCUUUUCUGUAAAUAAAAUUUAGUUUGGGACUUUUUCAUAAAUUGGACUAAAAUUUUAGAACUUUUCUGGAGAUUUCCCUUAAAUUUCUAACAAAAAAAAAAGAUAUAUAUACACUAAAGUCCUAAUAUUUUCGACGAUUUGACAAGGAAGUCCGAAACUUUAUUUUUUUGAUAGUAAAGUCCUAUUUGUUGAUUCGACAAAAAAAUCAUAAACUUUAUUUUUUUUUACAGUAAAGUCCUAAUUACCGGCUAACCGGAAAAAAUCUUAAACGUGUAAAAAACCGUCGGCAGUUAAGACUUUACUAUAAAAAAAAUAAAGUUUAGAACUAUCUUGUCAAAUCGAUGAAAAUAUUGGAACUUUAGUGUAUAUCUAUCCCUUUACAAAGUAGCCAACUUGCAACAACCCAAAAAUACGGAUAAGAAUUUUUUUUUUAAUUUCAUUCAAAUCACAUGAUACUAAUAUCAAAAUAGUCAAAAGAGUAUCAUAGCUACAUGUUAUAAAAAUACAAAUUCUCAAAAUCUCUAAAUGCGGAAACCAUAGGGUGAUGUGGUGCGAUCAGGUCGGGCCCUUCCCCUUCGAAAUGGAAGUACCUGAAACAUAAACUGAAAACUAUAUGUACAAAUCUUAGUGAGUUCCCGACCCCAAAAUACCAUAUACUAAACAAACAUACAACCAAGCAUAUAUGGGUGCUUGGCUACCCCUUUGGUCUAUUUCAGCUGGAUACUCUCAAGCAUAUAUGGGUGCUUGCAAUCCUCUUCGGUCUAUUUCAGUCGGAUACUGUCAAGCAUAUGUGGGUGUUUACAAUCCCCUUCGGCCUAUUUCAAUCGGAUACCUGGUCUAUUUCACCCCCAGUGGCGAAUCUAGAACCAAAAACCACGUGGUUCCUUAUGUAAUGAAACUAAAAAAAAAUACUAAUGGUGUCGGGUCGGGCCGUAUGCCUUUAAAUAGUUAAACAUAACUUCAAUAUUUAUAAUAAAAUUUUACAUUUAAACUCUACUAGGUUUAUACCUUGAAAUGUAUUCAUAAUUAUAUCGUUAUUGAUAUUUUCUAAAACAGUUUUUUUCAAUAUACGACCUUAAAUUAUCAUUCAAAAAUUGAAAAAUAUAAAAUAUGGGCACGAGUCAGUGACGCAUGGUAGAGGGGAGACGGUGGCAGGUGGCCUGGCCAAACGGUGGACAAUGGGAUCAAUUGACCGAUCAGGCAGGCGAGAACAUGAUGAGGCGUCAAACGUUAAGAUAUGUCGAUCGGUGAUCACGUUUCGUGAGUUUUUUAAAAAAUAAAAUAAAUGAAUUGGGCUAUUGGCUAAUGAAUAAAUUUUAAAUGGAUUGAAAGUGUGAACUAUUUUAAGUGGAUUACAAGGUAUGUCCUAUAAAAAUAAAAUNNNNNNNNNNNNNNNNNNNNNNNNNNNNNNNNNNNNNNNNNNNNNNNNNNNNNNNNNNNNNNNNNNNNNNNNNNNNNNNNNNNNNNNNNNNNNNNNNNNNNNNAUAUAUAUAUAUAUAUAUAUAUAUAUAUAUAUAUCUUACACUAAAUAUUAAUAUUAAGAAAAAUAGGUAGGUCCUAGGACCUACCAACCUUCAACUUAGCUACACCCCUGUUCACCUUUACUACUACCACAUAAUAUCAUAACAAGAGUCACAGAGUCAUCAAGAAAAUAUAGGCAUAACUGACAAUUGUCACAAAGACAUUCAUCACACUACAUCAUAAACUAAUGGGCCGACAUUGGUGCCUUCGACCCAUGGAUACAUUGAAAGAAAAUUCACCUCAGACUGAAGGUAUUGAAUCACUGUAACGACCCAAAAUUUUUUGUUUUAAUAUUACUACAAAUCACAACAUCAAACGUUGUAACAUCCCAAAAAUACAGUCUGAAAAUUUCGUUUUAAAGUAGUAAUAAAACCUUGUUCAUCAAUCGUCAUAUAAGAAUCAUAAAGAAUGUAUCUCAAAAUAUCUUAACAAUUGUCAAAUAUAUCAGAGUAUAAACAUCCCAGGCUGAACAAAUGGUGUGUGCACUGCAAUCUUCCCGAACUCCUCUUUUAAAAACUGAGUACCUGAAACCAAAAUUGAAAACCAUAAGCACGAAGCUUAGUAAGCUCCCCCAAACUACCACAUACCAUACAAUAACAUAUAAAGCAUCUACUGGGCCUUGCCCACUGCAUCGGACCGAAGUCCGGAAACUAACCAGGGCCUUGCCCUCUGCAUCGAACCGAAGUCCGGAAACUGCAUCGGACCGGAGUCCGGAACUAACCAGGACCUUGCCCUCUGCAUCGGACCGAAGUCCGGAAACUGCAUCGGACCGGAGUCCGGAACUAACCAGGGCCUUGCCCUCUGCAUCGGACCGAAGUCCGGAAACUGCAUCGGACCGGAGUCCGGAACUAACCAGGGCCUUGCCCUCUGCAUCGGACCGAAGUCCGGAACUAACUGCAUCGGACCGAAGUCCGGAACUGAUUGGGACCUUGUCCCCUGCAUCGGACCGAAGUCCGGAACUGACUGAACAUAACAUAGCAUAAACAUAUCAACUAGCAUGAAUACAUAUACUGCAUACUGCAUCGGAACAGAGUCCGGAACACAUAACACAAAACAUGCUUGAAUCACAAAGACAUCAAGCACUCUAACUACUGCAUCGGACCGAGGUCCAAAACUAACUGAACAUAGCAUAACAUAAUCAUAGCAUAUAAUCUAAACACAUAUACCGCAUACUGCAUCGGACCAUAGUCCGGAACACAUAACUCAUACCCUGUCUGUAUCACAAAGACACCAAGCAUACUGAACUACUGCAUCGGACUGAAGUCCGGAACUACUGCUAACUAAACGGGCCGGCAUUGUGGCCGUAGACCCGUUCCUACUGGAAGGAAACUCACCUCACACUGCUGAAGUCCCGUAGACACAAUCCCACACUGCUGAAGUCCCGCAGACUCCACCCCAGCUGCUGGCUGACAGAUUCCCGAACUGUCAACACCAAAUAACACCCAAUUAAUAAUUGGGUUCUAACACAUAACUAAAAAUACAUGCUUUGGAUAAUUACUACAUUACCCCUAGCUUGGCUUACCCAAGCCCAAGGCCCAAUCCAUAGGCCCAAAGUCAACUAGGGAUCAAAGCCCAACAUAUGGCCCAAUUUUCCAAAUUGGGCCCAAACCUCUACAUGGACUUCUCUUGAGGCCCAAAUGUCCAGUCUAGUCCAACAUGUCCCAUUCUAAGGGCCCAAUAUCAUACAAUCCUCUCGGCCCCAACUAUGGCCCAUCUAUGGCCCAAUUUUCCAAAUUGGGCCCAAUCUUUCAUAUGGGCCUUACCUUAAAGCCUAACUAAUUACUCUAGUCCAUUUGAUUUUUCUCGGAUGGCCCAACACAAAGCCCAAGUGAAAUUAGGGUUUCACAUCAAAUGAUAACUAGGGUUAAGUGUUGCUUACUUAACCCGCUAAGGACUUAACACACUAGGGACUUAAUCCAUUAAGGACUUAAUCCAUUAAGUCCAUUAUUGCUUAGAUUAAUUUCUGCCAAUGAUUAUUAUUUAAUAUUCACUUAUUAAAUAAUUCUCGUGUGCGUGCUGAUAAUCUCUCAAAUAUUAGUAUUUUCUCAAUUAGCUCAUUAAGGACUUAGUCCAUUAAGUUCUUUACUCUACUAGAUAAAUGAGAUGGAGUGAUUGGGCUUAAUACAUAAUCCCAUCUCAAUGGCCCAAAAGUGGGUCCAAUAAGUCUAAGGCCCAAUACUCAUAAUUAGGGUUUUCCACCCAAACAUGGCCCAAUAGGCCCAAAACCAAUCUCUAAGCCCAUUAGGGUUUGCUAGCGGGGCACCACCCACUACCACCUCGGGUAGUGGUGGUCAAUGGCGGCUCACGGCGGCGGCCACCACCUUACGGUGGUGGUUUCAAUUAUUAUUAUUAUUAACCAAUUUAAUUACAGUUACAAUGUUUGAUCAAAACAUAACCACACACGCUAACACACUAACUAAUACACACACACUGCCACACCAUGGUGGCCGGCGGUGGCGCUGGGCGGCAGCCACCACCUCACGGUGGUGGUAGUGGCUUCCUUGCUAUUUCCGGCUAGACUAAACACCCAAACACCACUAAACUGCAAUUAAACACACACACACACACACACGAUUUCUAUUGCACAAAGGUCCAGCCACCCUCCCCUGGUGGCUCACGGCUCACUGGUGACCACAGCCGCCAUACAUGGCGUCAAACCAACAAAAGGAACGAGAGGGAAAAAGAGAAGAAUCGACUGAAGGUUUCUCGACAGCCCAAUACUUGCACAGCGACAGAAUAACGGGAGCCAGCGCCUCCGGCAAUCAGCGUCGCAAUGGCGAUGUUCGUCCGACACGGCAGCAGCGACCACAGCGACGGAAGAUUUCUUCCCGGUCUUCGACGGUCUCUUGGUGACUCACGUUUUUGCCGGCAGCUCAUCUCGAUGGUGGCAGUUCCAUGGCAUGGCGGCGACCAAUGGAAAGGAAGCAGCUAUGCUAGACGACCUCGACGGUAGCAGCGGAGGCCGGGCUUGUCGUCGUCAACGGGAAUGGAGGCGGCAAUUCGACGAUUGGGAACGGCAGUAGGUGGCAGUCGUCGGAACUCCAUCUGGUCGAAGCACAAUGGGGAAAGCCGGUGAUGGCGGCUGGAGGAGAGCUUGGGUUAGGGUUUUGGGAGUGAUGAACUUAUGACGGGAAUGAUAUACCACCGGGUUCAAUCCCGUGUUCAUUCAAACUUCAAGCGAAAUUGACACUUCCAGUCCCUCCUUCUCAUAGCUCUUCAAAACAAAUCUUUAAUUUACACUUCAGCCCCCAACACUCCUAAUUCCUUUCAAUUUAGAUCCUAAAAAUUACCAAGCAGCCCCCAAUUCUAAAACCCUUUUCAAAUUACAUCCGAAACUUACUCUUUUAACCCCCGACUUCUAAAAUUCUUCACAAAUUAGUCCGGGACUUACAUUUACUAAUUAUUUAAAUAAACGGGACGUUACAAACGUUAUGUAUAACAAAACCAUGGAACGAGUAACCCAAAGUCAUAGUAACAGUAUUCAAAACAAGGACUGUAUCAAUCAUAUAAAAAUAUCAGAGUAAAUGCCCAGGCUAAACUGAAAUUGUGGUGUGUGUCAUGUCAUCAUCCUGAGCUCUUCCCCUUACUGGCAAAAGUACCUGAAACCAAAAUUGAAACUUGUAAGCACAAAGCUUAGUGAGCUCCCCCAAACUACCACAUACCAUAUAAUAACAUAUAAAGCACAUACUGGGCCUUGCCCACUGCAUCGAACCGAAGUCUGGAAACUGCAUCAGACCGAAUUCCAGAAACUAACCAGGGCCUUGCCCUUUGCAUCGGACCGAAGUCCGGAAACUGCAUCGGACCAAAGUCUCGAACUAACUGCAUCGGACCGAAGUCCGGAACUGACUGGGACCUUGUCCCCUGCAUCGGACCGAAGUCCGGAACUAACUGCAUCGGACCGAAGUCCAGAACUGACUGAAUCAUAACAUAGCAUAGACAUAUCAACUAGCAUGAACACAUAUACUACAUACUGCAUCGGACCCGAGUCCGGAACACAUAACACAAAACAUGCUUGAAUCACAAAGACAUCAAGCAAUCUAACUACUACCUCGGACCGAGUUCCGAAACUACUGCUAACUAAACGGGCUGGCAUUGUGGCCGUAGACCCGUUCCUACUGGAAGGAAACUCACCUCAGAAAGUUGACUGCUGAAAACCCGAGUGAAACAUCCUUGACUGCUGUCCCGGCUGCUCUCCAACUAUUAUGACAAUCAAACACUUAAUCAAAAAGGGGAUCUUUCAACGGGUAAAAUGACUAUUUUACCCCUACUAUGGUGUGGGUCAUAAUCAUGGCCUAAACCCUUUAAUUCUUUCUAAGUCCUCCACUGGGCCAUUAAAGGCCCACUAAUGGCCCAGUUAUACUAAAUUGGGCCUACUUCACACAUGGCCCUUCAUAAGCCGAAAACUGCCCUUGGCCCAUAAUUUAACUCCUACUGGCCCACUAAGGCCCUAGGUCCAAAAUACAGCCCACACCGAGGCCCAAAACUCAACGUCCAAUUGACUGUGUUACGCGGGGCGUACUCCAGAGUACGCUUAGCGUAACGGCUUGAUGGCAAGUACGUUGGGCGUGCCUACACGUAUGCUCAGCGUAAUACCCUGAUAAGCUCUUUCUCUAUUAAGUACUUAAUACUCCGAGUCAGAAGCUACAAUCUUAGAUCCAGGUCUUAUCCCACGUCUUAAACCAUAAAGUUGCUUACUUGAUGGCUUACAAGACUCCCAUAAGCUCAAACUUCUAAAAACAACCAUCUAUUUCCAAGAAGAUGGCUAGAUCUCAUGCAUGGCUUCAUGAAAGCCUCAAAGAUCGAAACUUUACUGCUAUGGGGACACUUUGAGCUUCAAGGAUAGCAAUCCCAAGCUCCAAAACGAAGUUGCAUGAUAAAGGUCCUACCUUUGGACCUAAAAGUUCCAAACUUCCAAAAACUCCUAGAUCAAAGCUUACAAGAGGAAAGUUGGAAGCUUUAUACCUCUUUUGGAUGCCAAAAGAAGAAAUGAUCCCAGAUCCUUGAGCUCAAGGUACUCAAGUUCUCCUUCUUCCAAUCUUCUUCUCUUCUUCCAAGCUUUUCUUCACAAAAAUGAACCCAAAAGAUCCACCACACACAAACAAAGGGGUAAGGGACGAACUAGGGUUUUCUGAGAGUAAAGGAUAUGUGAGGAGGCCAAAUGAGAGGCUAUAAUGGGGUUUAAAUACGUCUCAAACCCUAAAAUUAGGAUUUGUCAUCUGGUCGCGUACGCUGAGCGUACCUUAGGGUACGUUACGCGUACGCCUUCCAUAACCCGCGCAUCCUAGGGACACUAUGCCCCGCGUACAACAGGUUACGCCCCGCGUACGGCUUAUGGGCAGCCUACAACUCGGCCCAAGAAUCAAGAAGGCCCAAUCCAAUCCAAGAUGUCCAAUUCCAAACAUAGCCCAACUAAAACUCAAGAAAUAAAAUUAAUUAAUACCUCUAAAGUUGAUUGUUACAAUCACACUCAGCGGGUGACUCACGAAAUCCUCUCCUUAAGACACAAACAUAAAACCCUCAUUAGAAAUUAGGACAACACUCUCACCCGACAAUCCAAACACUAAUUCUUGACUUAAGGCAAAAAGGGCUUCUUUACCCUUGCCUCAUUGGGCCUCCCUCCCUCCAAGGCCCAAAUCCAUAUAAAGUCCAAAAAGGCAUCCAAGCCCAACUACAAGGCCACUAAGGCCCAAUAUGGACUAAGAUCACCCAACAUGGCCUUAAGCCCAAAAAUGUCCUGCUACAAAAGGUGGGUCCGAGGCCCAACCUAAAUAAGUCCAAAAAGCCUAACAAUAAUCGAGCCCAAAAUUUUUCUAAGUCCACAGACUGCAUACGCGCAACAUACAUGCCUCGUACGCCCAAUGUAUGCUGAUAACAAUCUGAAAUUGGGGCACUGGCCCAGUACGUGCAACGUACUGUAGAGUACGCCCAACGUACUGGUUAGUCAGCCCAUACUUGCUCCCAUGACUUAAUCCCUUAAGCCCUAACAUCUAAAACUUAGAUCCAAGCUCAUAAUAAUGUCUUAAGCCAUAAAGUUGCAAACUUUAUGCUUUUACAUGCCUUGUUGGGGGUCAAACUAUGAAUUAAGCCCUUUAACACACUUAGGUGGUCACUAACACAUGCAUGGUUGAGUAUAAACCUCCAAGAUACGAUUUCUAUGACUCCAAAGACUUCCAAGAGUCCAAAAGUACAGUUCAAAUGCCCUGGAGUAGCUCAUACACCAAGAAACCAAGUUAUGUAACCAAAAGAUGCUAAAAUCUACCCUAAACUUAGAUGUAAGCUUAGAAUGAUCAAGGUUUGGUCAUGCUAGGUUUCAUCAAUGAUUGUGGAUGGUGAUUCAUGCUAAAAUCCCACCGUGACACCAUCCCCAGAUGAUGGGUUACAAAAGAGUAAGAAGAAGGAUUUGGGUUUGGUCAUGCUAGGUUUCAUCGAUGAUUGCGGAUGGUGAUUCAAUUGAAGAAGAUGGUGGAUCUUGAACAAUGACUUUGUUUUUUACAUAUGAAAUCUUCAAAAGUCUGGGGUUAUUGUGGUUUCAUCUGGGUGCAUUUUAUGUGUGAGAGAUCUUGUGUUUGAAUUUGUAGAUACGAAGGUGGUGAUGAGUUUUUACAGGUUGUUUGGUGAUGGAGCUCUAAUGUUGAAGAGGAGAAGAAGACGAAGGUCUUCAAUGGAACUCAAAAAUCAAAAUUAAGUGGUGGUGUUGGAAGAAUGACAUCAAAGAGAGAGAGAGAGAGAGAGAGAGUGUGUGAGAGAGAGAGAGANNNNNNNNGAUAUUUAAACAGUUUUUUUAAUUUGAAGAGGGACUAGUACAAAAAUGAAACUAACAAUCAUUCAAUUUUUUCAAAGUUUGAAUGUGUAUUUAAAAAAAUAUAAAUCAUAAAAACCAUUUUUACAGUUUUAUUUAAUUUAUAAUUAGAUUUCCGAAUAAUAUAAUAUUUGAAAUUCAUAUGAUCAUUAAUCAUGUUAUUAAAAUAAGUAAUAAUAAUAGUAAAAAGAAGAAGAAUGAUAUGUCUAUAUAUCAAAUUCAAUAUGUUACACUUUAAAACUUAAAUGAAUCAAAGAUAGUUUAUCUCCAAGACAUUUAUAAAAUCCUACUUCUCAAAUACCCUAUUUAUAUAAAUAAAUAAACUCCACGUGCGAAACCUAUCACAAAUUAAUACAUGCAUUAAAAAUAAAUGCACAGUCCAUCUCACUUCCCUUUAAAAGUCCGAUUCGUCCUUUGUUCCUGUGCCUCUCGGGCUCUUACUCUUCACACCUGUCGAUACUCAAUAUGAGUAAACACAACACCCAGACCAGCAGGAAAGUCAGCAAUGGAUCAUUCCGAUCGAUUUUCAUGCAUGCCGACGGUGCCGACAUGUUUUUGAUGACCUUUGGGUUUUUAGGUGCCGUCGGCGACGGAAUUUCGACGCCGACCAUGUUUUAUUUUACCAGCACCAUCAUGAACAGCAUUGGAGACUUCUCUUCUCUAUCCAACGAUGUUUUCAUCGACAAAAUCAACAAGGUCAGUUAAUCAUAAAUCAAUAUAUUAAUAAAUCAUCGUCAACAAAUCUAACUGGGUUUUACUUUCAUGUUUACAGAAUGCAGAAUAUCUUUGUUUCUUAGCUAUUGGGAAAUUUAUAGCAUGUUUUCUUGGUAGGUUUUGCUCGAUUUCCAUUGUUUUAAAUCGUUCCUAUAUAUCAGAAAAAAAUAUAUAUAUAUUUCGUGAUUUUUGCAGAGGGGUAUUGCUGGGCAAGAACAGCAGAGAGGCAAGCAUCAAGAUUGAGGUCGGAUUAUUUGAAAGCGGUUUUAAGGCAAGAAGUGGCGUAUUUCGACUUGAAUGUAACAAGCACAGCAGAGAUCAUUACAAGUGUUUCCAGUGAUAGUCUCGUGAUUCAAGAAGUCAUCAGCGAAAAGGUGCCUGUGUUCGUGAUGUAUGUAUCUCUUUUUUGUGGGGCAUAUGCUGCGGCGUUUAUAUUGCUAUGGAGGCUAGCAAUUGUUGCGCUUCCAUUUAUUAUAGUUUUAGUUAUACCUGGUUUGAUUUAUGGAAGAGUUCUGAUGAGGUUAUCAAGAAAGAUGAGGGAGGAGUACAAUAAGGCUGGUGCGGUGGCGGAACAGGCGAUUUCUUCCGUGAGGACUGUUUAUUCAUUUGUUGGUGAAAAUAAGAGCUUAACAGAGUACUCAGCUGCUCUUGAAGGAAGCUUUAAAUUGGGUUUAAAACAGGGUUUAGCCAAAGGAUUAGCGAUUGGCAGCAAUAGUGUGUCUUAUAUCGUCUGGUCUUUCUUGAUUUGGUAUGGUAGUAGGCUGGUGAUGUAUCAUGGAGCUAGAGGUGGAACUGUGUUUGCUGUUGGAGCUGUCAUCACCUUUGGUGGAGUGUAAGUUUUUUUCCAUCUGUUAUUUCAUCAAACAGGUUGUCUGCAUUAUACUUGCAUAUCUUUUUUUUAAAUGGAUUUUAAGGAUAUCUUAAUAAUGAAUCCAAUAACGACAGAUCACUGGGAUCUGCAUUAUCGAACGUGAGGUACUUUUCCGAUGCAAUGGCUGCUAGUGAACGUAUAAGGGAAGUGAUCAAAAGAGUUCCGGAGAUCGAUUCAGAUAACAUGGAAGGGGAGAUAUUACAACAAGUAUCCGGAGAAGUGGAAUUCAAGAACGUGAAGUUUGCGUACCCAUCAAGGCCGGAAUCGGUGAUAUUCAAAGACUUUAACUUAAAAGUUCCGGCAGGGAAGACGGUGGCGUUGGUAGGUGGGAGUGGAUCUGGUAAAUCGACUGUGAUUGCAUUGUUGCAGAGGUUUUAUGAUCCUCAAGGAGGAGAGAUUUGUGUUGAUGGGUUGAGAAUUGAAAAGCUUCAAUUAAAAUGGCUAAGAUCACAAAUGGGUUUGGUGAGUCAGGAGCCCGCUCUAUUUGCGACAACGGUAAAAGAGAAUAUACUUUUUGGCAAGGAAGAUGCCUCCAUGGAUGAAAUCAUUGAAGCUUCCAAAGCUUCAAACGCUCAUAACUUCAUCUCCCAGUUGCCUCAGGCCUAUGACACACAGGUUCUUUUUCAUACUUCCAUCAAAACACACACACACAAUUAUACAAAUAUUAAACUAAUUUGAGCACUAAUUUGUAAAUAAUUUAAAUUUUAAACUUAAUAUUCGAUUUUUAUGUCAUUAUUGUGACAGACGUCAACAAACUGAUAAAAAUAAUAUUAAAAAAAAUUAACAUGUUUCUAAUUGAUUUACAAAAUAUUUACAUCAUUUAUGAAAUGUAAUAUCUCGGUUUACAAAAUAAUUUAUUUAGAUGGGAUUCUAUCCUGAUUCUCUGGAUCGAAUGGCGUCCUUUAACGAUAAACUAAUAAGGCAAACAUGUGACGCAAACACUUUGUUUAAGAAAUAUACGCAUAUCUUCUAUCAUUGUUACAAAUGUCAACUCUACCGUCUAAUAUUAUAUGAGUAUGUUUAAAAAANAAAAAAAAAAAAAAAAAAAAAAAAAAAAGAAAAAGUUCAAUAGAGGGUUUAAUGGGAAGUUUAAUAUCAUUAAGUUCAAUCCCCAUUGAACUCUAUAUUCUCUCUCCUCUUUCUCUCUCUCUCACAUACACAUAUAUAUAUAUUAAUGGGAAGUUUAAUAUCAUUAAGUUCAAUCCCCAUUGAACUCUAUAUUCUCUCUCCUCUUUCUCUCUCUCUCACAUACACAUAUAUAUAUANNNNNNNNNNNNAUAUAUAUAUAUAUAUAUAUAUAUAUAUCAUUUUUUAUUUUAAUUUUUUAAUUAGUGUUAAUUUUAAUUGUAGUUUUUAAUUUUUAAUUUCAUGUUAAUUAAUUUUUUAAAAAUAAUAAUAAAUAAAAAAAAUGAUAAAUGAUGUGACAAUCCAUUAAAUUGUAUAGAGUUUAAUGAAGUGUAGAGUUUAAUGGGUAAAGUUGUAUAGUGAGUGGAAUGUAUAUGUGUCAAUCCAUUGAACUCAUAUGAGUUCAAUGCAUUGGAGAUGGUCUAUGCAGAAUGCAUACGAACAUUAUUGUAAUAUAAAAAAUUCGAUAAAAAUAGCUUAAAUGAAAACGCUCUUGCACAUGAUCCACAAGGAAAAUAGUAUACUGGGGAAAAAUCGCAUGAGAACACCGGGUGAAUAUUUUACAGAUUUAUAUGUUUUGGGUCUCAUAAAGUAACAACCUAUGUUUUGCAUAAUUUCAUACAUUGAAGAAGGUUUUUUAAUAUAAUAAAAAACAUUAAUUACUUAUUUAUACAAUAACAUGUAAUCAGUUAUGAGUACAUUGUGAUGCAAUUUAUAAAACAAAUUGGAUAUGUCAUCUGCUACUUACUACUUAAAUGCAUUUUAGCUACUAAAACAAAAAAUAUAUAAAUAAAUAAAUAAAUUGUAAACGGUAUGAUCCAAUUUGGCUAAUCUUUCUCAGAUAAUGGCACUUACACCCUAAUGGUUUUGUUGGUGACAACCUGUGUAUUACUUUUUUUUUAUUAGUUAGAUUACAACUAAUCUUCUGUUUUUUAUUUAUAUUUGUUCGAAUAAAACUAAGCAGCAGCCAGUGGCGGAUCCAGACCAGAAGUGAAUUGGGGUCCAUUUUAUACUUUCCAGACGAUUCAUAACAUCUUUAUUUGUAGCCUCAUAAAUUUAUUCUCCUUUAACCAUGCAAAUUAUACAAUCAUUCCUGAACUCAUCCGAAAUUUGAUUACACGGUUUAACCAUCUUUUUUUCAUUUCAAAACUAACAAAACUAAUAUUUUUUUUUGUUGUUUUUCCAUUAUUUAAUAUCUAACACAUUGAGUUUUCCAUCAACAACUCAUAAAACUAAAUAAAAGUAACUUAAUCAAUUUCAGAAAUUAGAAAUUAACUGGAUGCAUACCAAUAUACAGAGGGUUAUUAACUUGAAAUAAAUUUAUAUAUACAUAUAAAUACGGUGGGAAUUACAGCCAAGUGGGGUGCAUGGACCCCACUCCAUACACACUACAUCCGCCACUGGCAGCAGCUAACAUGUCAAAAAAAAAAAUUAAAAACAUUUGUCAAGUUAUACUCAUACGUGGUUUCUUGUUUACAAGUUGCAUAAACCGGUUGUAGUUGCAUUAUAUAUGAACAUAAACACUAGUGAGUAAAUUAAAAUUAAAUAAAAAGUUGUUGCAUGGACAAGUAAUUUGGUUAAACGUUUACAAUUGAUUAUCUUUUUAUAAUAUUUUUUUUAUAAAUGAAAAUGUUAGUUCAUUACCCAUUUAUAUAACUAAUAUACGUAUCUGUUGUAAAUAAUAGGUUGGAGAAAGAGGAAUUCAGAUGUCAGGCGGACAAAAGCAAAGAAUUGCUAUUGCCCGUGCAAUAAUCAAGUCGCCUCGUAUUCUUCUUUUGGACGAGGCGACAAGCGCACUAGACUCUGAAUCAGAACGAGUCGUUCAGGACGCACUUGAUCGUGCGUCUGUUGGUCGAACGACAAUCAUCAUAGCUCAUCGCCUUUCUACAAUUAGAAACGCCAACAUGAUAGUGGUGGUCCAGGAUGGCCAGGUGGUCGAGUCUGGCCACCAUGACCACCUCAUUCAACUUGAAAAUGGUCUCUACACAUCCCUCAUUCGCCUCCAAGAAACCAAACAAAAUGAUGAACCCAUUACUCAUUCCCCACUUGGACCUUCAUCGGUCUCCUCCACAUAUGAUGUCCACAACACGAGCAGUCGUCGAAGGUCAAUUAAUGUGAGUCGGUCAAAUUCGGUCAACCAUGGUGCAGAAGACAAAUUUGCUUCACAGACAAACCAAGUAUUUCCGGUACCUUCUUUCAAGAGACUUUUAGCAAUGAAUAUUCCUGAAUUUAGGCAAGCAUUGUAUGGGAGCUUGGGUGCUAUUUUAUUUGGUGCAGUUCAACCAGUUUAUUCUUUUGGAAUGGGGUCUAUGAUAUCAGUGUAUUUCUUGGUUGAUCAUGAUGAGAUCAAACACAAAACGACGAUGUAUUCACUAUGGUUUGCUGGUCUAGCAAUUUUCACGAUGGUAAUAAACAUCAUUCAGCAUUAUAAUUUUGCAGCCAUGGGUGAGCACUUGACCAAGAGGGUCCGCGAAAAGAUGUUGUCAAAGAUACUCUCUUUUGAAAUCGGGUGGUUCGAUCAGGAUGAAAAUUCAACCGGAGCCCUCUGUUCCAGGCUAGCUAAAGAUGCCAAUGUGGUAUGAAAUUUAUGAUUUGUUUCACGUUACUAACAGAACCUUACAUAUUAACAAUAAUUUUAUAAAAUUAUUUGUUACUUGAUUAUAGGUUUAUCAAUAUUUAUAAAUUAAAAGUAUGUCAACAAUGAUUUUGCAGGUGCGAUCUUUGGUGGGUGAUCGAUGUUCACUUCUAAUUCAAACAUUCUCUGCCGUGACGGUUGCUUUCAUAUUAGGGUUGGUGAUUGCAUGGAGAUUGGCAUUAGUUAUGAUUGCUGUUCAGCCACUUGUAAUUAUAGGCUUCUAUAGCAAACGUGUUUUGUUAAAAACUAUGUCACAAAAAGCCAUGAAAGCACAAGAAGAAAGUAGUAAGCUAGCAGUGGAAGCCGUCUCAAAUUUGCGCACAGUCACUGCCUUUUCUUCUCAACCACGAAUCCUGAAGAUGCUCCAAGAAACCCAAAAAGCACCAAUGCGUGAAAGCAUCCGACAAGCAUGGUAUGCUGGAUUCGGGCUCGCGCUUACUCAAAGUCUUAUGCCUUGUACUUGGGCUCUGGACUUUUGGUAUGCUGGGAAAUUGAUUAGCGCUGGUCAACUUGGAGCUAAAGCGCUUUUCCAGACGUAUUUGAUAUUAGUAAGCACAGGCAGGACAAUUGCGGAUGCAGGGACCAUGACAAAUGAUUUAGCCAAAGGGUCUGAUGCGGUGCAGUCUGUGUUUGCGGUUUUGGACCGUCACACCUUAAUAGAGCCCGAUGAUGCUGCUGGUAAAAAGUCGGAUAUCAUUACAGGCCACAUAGAGAUACGUGAUGUGGACUUCGCUUACCCUGCUCGGCCUAAUGUCAUGGUAUUUAAAGGAUUCUCGAUCGAUAUUGAAGCUGGGAAAUCAACUGCAUUGGUGGGACAAAGUGGGUCUGGGAAAUCGACCAUUAUCGGGCUUAUUGAGCGUUUUUACGACCCAAUGAAAGGAGUUGUGAAGAUCGAUGGAAGAGAUAUAAGGGCAUACCAUUUAAGAACUUUGAGGAAAUAUAUCGCACUUGUGAGCCAAGAGCCAGCGUUAUUCGCUGGUACUAUACGUGAAAACAUCAUAUACGGGGCAUCCGAGACGGUUAGUGAAUCGGAGGUCAUUGAGGCUGCUAAAGCAGCCAAUGCUCAUGAUUUCAUAGCAGUUUUGAAAGACGGAUAUGACACACAGUGUGGUGACCGAGGGAUACAACUCUCUGGAGGACAAAAACAACGUGUUGCUAUAGCCCGUGCCAUAUUAAAAAAUCCAUCAGUGUUGUUACUAGAUGAAGCCACGAGUGCAUUAGAUAGUCAAUCAGAGAAAGUAGUACAAGAUGCAUUAGAGCGAAUGAUGGUCGGGAGGACUAGUGUGGUGGUGGCCCACCGCUUGAGUACCAUACAAAGUUGCA